Molecule: non-coding RNA, 106 nt
Organism: Capsicum annuum
Lineage: Eukaryota; Viridiplantae; Streptophyta; Magnoliopsida; Solanales; Solanaceae
Source: Rfam
UGGUGAUAGUGAGGGCAAUUUUUAAGCAUACCCUUAAUCUCUCCCAAGCUUUGUAGAGAUUAUCUCCUUCUUUCUGUUAAAAACUCAAGAUCUCACUCCUCAAGUG